Molecule: ribosomal RNA, 402 nt
Filed under: uncultured bacterium
Lineage: Bacteria
Description: bacterial SSU rRNA
Rfam family: Bacterial small subunit ribosomal RNA
Source: RNAcentral
AACGAACGUUAGCGGCGCGCUUAACACAUGCAAGUCGCACGAGAAAGGGCUUCGGCCCCGGUAAAGUGGCGCACGGGUGAGUAACACGUGGAUAACCUACCCUCGAGCAGGGGAUAACAUCCCGAAAGGGGUGCUAAUACCGCAUAAGACCACGGCUUCGAAAGGAGCUGAGGUAAAAGCUGGCCUCUAUAUAUAAGCUAGCGCUUGAGGACGGGUCCGCGGCGCAUCAGGUAGUUGGCGGGGUAAUGGCCCACCAAGCCUAAGACGCGUAGCUGGUCUGAGAGGAUGAUCAGCCACACUGGAACUGAGACACGGUCCAGACUCCUACGGGAGGCAGCAGUGGGGAAUCUUGCGCAAUGGACGAAAGUCUGACGCAGCGACGCCGCGUGUGUGAUGAAGGCC